This is a long non-coding RNA of Brienomyrus brachyistius, 1865 nucleotides long. RefSeq lists it as uncharacterized. Lineage: Eukaryota; Metazoa; Chordata; Actinopteri; Osteoglossiformes; Mormyridae. The transcript is spliced from 3 exons. The record is from RefSeq and is a predicted model, not a curated record.
UCUCUUCGCUUGAGCAAGAUUUGACGUCUUAUGUACAACGAUGCUCUUGAUUUUAAAGCAAGUUUUGCUUUAAAUGUAUGUCCCCACGUAUGUCGCUCCCUCUCUCUCUCUCUCCACCUCCCGCCUCUCCUCCAUCCUGCAGCCGAUACACUGUUGCCUGUGAGCGGUAAUCCCUGCCGCUCACGACUUACCCAGAGCCCGUAUAAUUCUACUAAACCCCCAGCUGCCGCCCUGGCCACUCGCUGAACACGACAGACUGCGAACCGCUCUCCGUAUUAAUAAUUCAGCCUCUCCGAUUCUCCGACCGUUAUCAGCUGCACACGCUCCGGGCCAACGGCACUCCUUCCCGUUUAUUCAAGACUCAUCACUAAAAUCUAUAUUAACUACAGGUUUAAUAUACAUCCAUAUGCUAACAUGCUUACAGAUUAAUAUUAUUUGACCGUUUUUUUAAAGGCGUCAACUUGCGUGCCUGUCUAUAGCACACACUCUGAUUGAUGCUCAGGAUGGUUUUAGUCAUUAAAAGACAAAGUCGUGAGCGUUUUUUCCUUCGCCUUAUCUAAGCCUGGAGGAGGAGGUGGAGAGGAAUAGAAGGGGAUCCCACUUUCUUGAUACAGGAGGAGUGAAGGGGGAUAGAAGAAAGUGAGAGAGGGGGAGGGAGAGAGAGGGGGUGCUGUAGUCUUAAAUUCUAAAAAAGAGCAACAGCUGAAUUGAAGGCAUAUAUACAUACAGAACAACUUACUGUCAGUCUAUUUCACUGAACCCUUUCCCUGAUUUGACACUUUUUUUCUGCGGUUGCUGUUGACGGAUCGCGGACACCGUGCACGGAUUCGCCCGAAACCCGCUGAUCGGCGCCGGAUUCGGCUGACGGAGAGAGCAGACGGACAGUAAUAGCGGAUCUCCCGGAGUUCUCAAGCCGAGGCUACGCUGUAUUGGAAAAUCCUUCACGCUGGAAGUGAACAGGAAGAUCCCGAAUGAGGCAGAAAUCGGGAGGCUUGGAUAAUCCGUCCGCUUCCCUCGCACCGAUGAGAAGAGUUACUUUUAAAAGAAUGUUUGCCGGGCCACACGCCGUCUUGUUUUAGCGUUUCUUUUUCGCUUCCGGUAUCGCAGAAGAAGCCGAGCCGCACUCUCUCGCUCGCUCUCUCACUCAGACUUUUUUUUUGGAAGCUGAACUUUUUAAAGGAAAAUGGGUCUUUGAGACUGUUUGGCAAAAUUCCCUGCACCAUAAUGGCAGCCGAAACUUUUCUGGUGAACGAAGAUCCUUCCAGAGGUGCUGGGCUCCCAGAAUGCUUUGUAGUGUCUGAUUCGUACAGGAUUGCAGCGAUGUACAUUCCACAAUGAGGGCAAAAGCUAUGCACACCUUCAUGUCUGUUAAACAUCUUUGACAAUAUACGCACAGGAUACACACAGUGUUUUCCAUCUAGCGUUUCAUUAUAAGUGUAUUUUGAGCUUCCCGUAGUAAAAAAUAUAGAAGGUGAAAAGGGGGAGAUUUAAACAUUACAGAACGUGCAAAUUUAUCUACUUUUGCAACCAUAAACUUAAAAUUCCCUGAAGAAUUCUGCAGAAAGAGGCAUUUACCAGGAGCACAGUGAUACAGAGAAGUGUGUCCUAUAUGCAGCAUCUAAGUCUGAGAUGAAUGGAACAGAACUUUAAAAUCUAGUUUUCCAUUGUGGAUCAUAACUACGCACAGGGAUUAUAAUUCAACGUAAUUAGCGGGAGUCUCUGUACAACUGACCUGAUGUAGACGAAUGACCAAUAACACAUGUGAAUGAUCGUCUGCUGCUUGGAGGGGUUUUUUAACUUAUGGAUGGUGUGGGGAGUAAUCUCUGAGGAGGCACACCAGGCUCAGGUUCCGCCCCCCCCGCCCC